Molecule: ribosomal RNA, 468 nt
Filed under: uncultured bacterium
Lineage: Bacteria
Description: partial 16S ribosomal RNA
Rfam family: Bacterial small subunit ribosomal RNA
Source: RNAcentral
GACGAACGCUGGCGGCGUGCUUAACACAUGCAAGUCGAACGGAAAGGCCCUGCUUUUGUGGGGUGCUCGAGUGGCGAACGGGUGAGUAACACGUGAGUAACCUGCCCUCGACUUUGGGAUAACUUCAGGAAACUGGGGCUAAUACCGGAUAGGAGCUCCUGUUGCAUGGUGGGGGUUGGAAAGUUUCGGCGGUUGGGGAUGGACUCGCGGCUUAUCAGCUUGUUGGUGGGGUAGUGGCUUACCAAGGCUUUGACGGGUAGCCGGCCUGAGAGGGUGACCGGCCACAUUGGGACUGAGAUACGGCCCAGACUCCUACGGGAGGCAGCAGUGGGGAAUAUUGCACAAUGGGCGGAAGCCUGAUGCAGCAACGCCGCGUGCGGGAUGACGGCCUUCGGGUUGUAAACCGCUUUCGCCUGUGACGAAGCGUGAGUGACGGUAAUGGGUAAAGAAGCACCGGCUAACUACGUG